Molecule: ribosomal RNA, 253 nt
Filed under: uncultured bacterium
Lineage: Bacteria
Description: partial 16S ribosomal RNA
Rfam family: Bacterial small subunit ribosomal RNA
Source: RNAcentral
UACAGAGGGGGCAAGCGUUGUUCGGAAUUACUGGGCGGAAAGGGCGCGUAGGCGGCCUUCUAAGUCGAACGUGAAAUCCCUCGGCUUAACCGGGGAACUGCGCUUGAUACUGGAUGGCUUGAGAUUGGGAGAGGGAUGCGGAAUUCCAGGUGUAGCGGUGAAAUGCGUAGAUAUCUGGAGGAACACCGGUGGCGAAGGCGGCAUCCUGGACCGGCAUUGACGCUGAGGAGCGAAAGCCAGGGGAGCAAACGGG